RNAcentral lists this ribosomal RNA (667 nucleotides) under uncultured Bacteroidales bacterium. RNAcentral describes it as "bacterial SSU rRNA". It matches the Rfam family "Bacterial small subunit ribosomal RNA", at positions 41 to 695 of the family's 1533-position model. The record is from RNAcentral. Lineage: Bacteria; Pseudomonadati; Bacteroidota; Bacteroidia; Bacteroidales.
UACAGGCUUAACACAUGCAAGUCGAGGGGCAGCAUGGUCUUAGCUUGCUAAGGCUGAUGGCGACCGGCGCACGGGUGAGUAACACGUAUCCAACCUGCCGUCUACUCUUGGCCAGCCUUCUGAAAGGAAGAUUAAUCCAGGAUGGGAUCAUGAGUUCACAUGUCCGCAUGAUUAAAGGUAUUUUCCGGUAGACGAUGGGGAUGCGUUCCAUUAGAUAGUAGGCGGGGUAACGGCCCACCUAGUCAACGAUGGAUAGGGGUUCUGAGAGGAAGGUCCCCCACAUUGGAACUGAGACACGGUCCAAACUCCUACGGGAGGCAGCAGUGAGGAAUAUUGGUCAAUGGGCGAUGGCCUGAACCAGCCAAGUAGCGUGAAGGAUGACUGCCCUAUGGGUUGUAAACUUCUUUUAUAAAGGAAUAAAGUCGGGUAUGCAUACCCGUUUGCAUGUACUUUAUGAAUAAGGAUCGGCUAACUCCGUGCCAGCAGCCGCGGUAAUACGGAGGAUCCGAGCGUUAUCCGGAUUUAUUGGGUUUAAAGGGAGCGUAGAUGGAUGUUUAAGUCAGUUGUGAAAGUUUGCGGCCCAACCGUAAAAUUGCAGUUGAUACUGGAUGUCUUGAGUGCAGUUGAGGCAGGCGGAAUUCGUGGUGUAGCGGUGAAAUGCUUAGAU